This 296-nucleotide unclassified non-coding RNA is filed under the name Hevea brasiliensis (rubber tree). The record is from RNAcentral. Lineage: Eukaryota; Viridiplantae; Streptophyta; Magnoliopsida; Malpighiales; Euphorbiaceae.
AACCGAACUUUCCCUUGUCUUUAACCUUUCUAAGCCUCACUAUUAGUUACUGGUUUCUGAACCAUGGCACCAACACCACCCACCUCCCUAGAGUUCAAGGUUCAUAGGCGUGAACCUGAACUAAUCGCCCCUGCUAAGCCUACCCCUCAUGAGUUCAAACCAUUAUCGGACAUUGAUGACCAAGAGGGUCUUCGAUUUCACAUUCCGGUGAUACAGUUUUAUCGGUAUGAUCCCUCCAUGCAAGGGAGAGAUCCUGUUAUGGUGAUAAGAGAGGCACUCGCUAGAACACUAGUGUU